This 253-nucleotide ribosomal RNA is filed under the name uncultured bacterium. RNAcentral's name for it is "partial 16S ribosomal RNA". It matches the Rfam family "Bacterial small subunit ribosomal RNA", at positions 524 to 776 of the family's 1533-position model. The record is from RNAcentral.
UACGUAGGGGGCAAGCGUUGUCCGGAAUUACUGGGCGUAAAGGGCUCGUAGGCGGCCAACUAAGUCCGACGUGAAAUCCCCAGGCUUAACCUGGGAACUGCGUCGGAUACUGGAUGGCUUGAAUUCGGGAGAGGGAUGCAGAAUUCCAGGUGUAGCGGUGAAAUGCGUAGAUAUCUGGAGGAAUACCGGUGGCGAAGGCGGCAUCCUGGACCGACAUUGACGCUGAUGAGCGAAAGCUAGGGGAGCAAACGGG